GAGAACGAAACAAAGAGGCCAAAUUGCCCCCUCCCUCUCUUCAUCGUUCACGAACAAAAAACAAAGGAGGAACAAAAACAACAAACCGAAGCUCUCUCUGCUCGCGGUUUCUCGUCGUCUCUCUGUUCUCUCUCGUUUGAAAAACAACAACAACAACAGCAACUCGCUCUCACGGUGAACAACAACAAAAACCCUCUUGGUUCUGCGUUUAUGAACAACAACAAUAGCGACUACCGAACAGAAAGUCUACGGCGGCCAUGGGAGGAAAAACGAAGCUCAUACCAACAAGAACAACUUAAGUUGUGAACUGAUUUCAGAAAUAUAAAACCAGUUUCAGAUUUAUCAAUAAUAUUAAGAGUUAAGGUGGAAACUACUUACCUGUGAUGACAAGUUGUUCGCAGGAUUAUGUUGAGUGUCGGUGUUUUGACUGCAGGUGAGCAAGAACCUUCGGUGAUGUUGUUAUUGCAACUGUUGUUGUUGCUGAAUUUUUGUGUUGAAGUGAUUAUGUUGUUGCUGCAGUUUGAUUGAAGGUGAUAUGAAGAUGAACAAAACCGCUUUUGAUGAAGGUGAUGCCAUAACACCUCUUUGGAUUGUGGGAGAACUUGAAGAUGGAACUUCAAGUUGUUGAAAGCUUGAAGAUGAAGAUCUUCAAGUAAGGUAUGAAGAACCACUACCUUUUCACUCUUUCUCUCUUUUUUUGUAGAAUAACACUUAGAAGUAUGAGAAUUCUAUGUGUUACUCUUCCCCUCUUUUUUUUCGUUUCCUUCAUUUGUGUGUCUCUCCUCUAUUUAUAGAGGAAAAAGUGAGGGAUAAUUUUGGUCAUUUUGGAACCAAAGCUUAGUCCUUAAGCUCACUUAGUUACUAAGUUGUCAUCAUUGCAAAGAAUAUUCUUUCCCAAAAUAAUCAUUGCAAAAGUUUCUUUCAUGCUAAGUUUGCUUAAUGGCAAAGCUCACAAAUUUGUGCACAUGGGAGGAACAUGCACAUGGGAGGGAAAGAUUCCCUUCACAACUCUUGUAGUUCCACGACAAUGCUUCAUUUUAUGUCAAAGUUGGUAACUUCUAAGUGUAGUAGUAUGACAUAAAAUAUAUUUCUUUGACUUUCUUUGACUUUUUUUGACUUUUUGACUUUAAUUGGGCUUUUGGGCCCUCUUGAAUUAUUUUUUGUGAGACUUGCUAAUUCCACCUUUUUUGUUUCUUUUUCAUGUCACAUGAGGACUUGAAGAAAGAAUGAAGAAACUUGGACUUGAAGAAUGGAAGCUUGAAGGUUGAAGAAUGAAUUCAAGAAAACUUUGUAUUUUCGCUUGUUGUAAUUCCAAUUCAUUCCACCUUAGAAUUGUAUGAAUUUGGACCUUGUAUUCUUGAGAAUCAAUGGAACUUUGAAUGUUGUAACAUGAAUUUUGAAUGAAGUCCAUUUUGUAAUUCAUUUGGAA
Molecule: long non-coding RNA, 1429 nt
Organism: Vicia villosa (hairy vetch)
Lineage: Eukaryota; Viridiplantae; Streptophyta; Magnoliopsida; Fabales; Fabaceae
Exons: 4
Source: RefSeq, a predicted model, not a curated record